UACAGAGGGGGCAAGCGUUGUUCGGAAUUACUGGGCGUAAAGGGCGCGUAGGCGGCCGCCUAAGUCAGACGUGAAAUCCCUCGGCUCAACCGGGGAACUGCGUCUGAUACUGGGUGGCUUGAAUCCGGGAGAGGGAUGCGGAAUUCCAGGUGUAGCGGUGAAAUGCGUAGAUAUCAGGAGGAACACCGAUGGCGAAGGCAGGUCUCUGGGCAUUAACUGACGCUGAGGAGCGAAAGCAUGGGGAGCGAACAGG
Molecule: ribosomal RNA, 253 nt
Filed under: uncultured bacterium
Lineage: Bacteria
Description: partial 16S ribosomal RNA
Rfam family: Bacterial small subunit ribosomal RNA
Source: RNAcentral